Molecule: long non-coding RNA, 1213 nt
Filed under: Mus musculus (house mouse)
Lineage: Eukaryota; Metazoa; Chordata; Mammalia; Rodentia; Muridae
Description: long non-coding RNA chr12:25493731-25494944
Source: RNAcentral
ACUUAUAGGUCUUCAAUAAAUAGGACUUCCCUUUCUCACUGUAAGAGUGGCAGCUGUCUCAUUCUUCUGUGUAUGUGUGUGUGUGUGUGUGCACCCAUGCAAGUGCGUCUGUGUGUAUAUACAUGUGUGUGGGUACAUGGGUGCAUAUGCAUGUGAAGGUAAGAGACUGACUGUCCAGCAAGCCAGAGGGGCCCACCUGUGUUCCUCUGUGUAUCUUCUGGGCUGGGACUUCAAGUAUAUACCACCACUCCCAGCUUUUUAACUGGGCUCUGGGAUUUGAACUCAGGUCCUCCUACAUGCACAGCAAGCAUGCACUGAUCUAGCUAUCACCUAGCUUGUUCCCUUUUAUCCAUUUUGAUAUCUUCUAAGACCCCUAGAUAGCACCUUGCCUUACAUAAACUGUUUCUCCUGUCCCUAUGAUAAAGCUUAAUUUGUGAGUCAGGAAAAGUAAGACAUUACUAAUAGUGAAAAGAUCAUGUUACAGUUAUACAUUAUAAUGAGAGUUCUCUGUUUUCUUUCUCUCACCCUUGUAAUAAGUUCUUUCCUCUACCACAGUGGUAUUCAAUCUCCCUAAUGUUGUGAUCUUUUAAUACAGUUCCUUUUGCUGUGAUGACCCCCAACAAUAAAAUUGUUGUUGUUGCUUCACAACUGUAAUGAUACUACUGUUGUGAAUUGUAAUAUAAAUAUAUAUGCUUUCUGAUGGUCUUGGUCAACCCCUUGAAAGGGUCAUUCAACUCCCAAAGGGAGUUGUGACCCACAGUUUGAGAAAUACUGCUCUACUACAGAAGAGCAGAACUGUCCUCUGGGAGUAGAAACUUGGAGGGCAAAUCUACAGACCAGAAGGGACAACUGAGCUAAAAAUAUCCACUUAGGAAGCUUGAAUCUCACUGAGAAGGGGGAAUAAAACAGUCAUAAGAGGCAGUUGGAGGGGAAGGGAGCUGGGAGGAGGAAUAUGGGGAGGGGAGUGGUGUGAAGAAGGAUGGGGUGUGUGACUAGAUGGCCAUGAAGGUGAAUAGAGGUCUUGCUUGAUGGGGGUGGAGAUGUGGGGGCAUUUCCAGGACCAGAUAGAGACCUAGGAUAAGGGAGGUACCCAAGAAUCAACAGGGUGACCUUGACUGUGACACACUAUGUUGGGGAUGUGGAACCUGAGGAUACUACCUCUUGUAUACAGACAGGAACCCCCAAUAGAGCAAUAGAGACACCAACACACCCA